AGAGGAACUCCAUCUCAUGUAGAUGUCAGGCAUGGAAAAGCCUGUCACAAGAUCUUUGAUGGAAGCCUGAAACUGGCCAUGGUGGGAGUAUUUACACCCUGGAAAUCAGCAAACAUUAUGAAAGAGGUGGAGAUGUCCACAAGAACCGUAAAGGAGUUUCUCCUGAACAAGUAUAGAUUUGUGGAUCAUUGCAGUGCAAGGGGUAGACUAUGCAAGCCAGUG
This is a long non-coding RNA of Eubalaena glacialis (North Atlantic right whale), 222 nucleotides long. RefSeq lists it as uncharacterized. The record is from RefSeq and is a predicted model, not a curated record. NCBI's taxonomy places the organism in Eukaryota, Metazoa, Chordata, Mammalia, Artiodactyla, Balaenidae. The transcript has 3 exons.